This 916-nucleotide ribosomal RNA is filed under the name Staphylococcus aureus. Its description in RNAcentral is "partial 23S ribosomal RNA". It matches the Rfam family "Bacterial large subunit ribosomal RNA", at positions 513 to 1437 of the family's 2925-position model. The record is from RNAcentral. Lineage: Bacteria; Bacillati; Bacillota; Bacilli; Caryophanales; Staphylococcaceae.
GGUGAAAAGCACCCCGGAAGGGGAGUGAAAUAGAACCUGAAACCGUGUGCUUACAAGUAGUCAGAGCCCGUUAAUGGGUGAUGGCGUGCCUUUUGUAGAAUGAACCGGCGAGUUACGAUUUGAUGCAAGGUUAAGCAGUAAAUGUGGAGCCGUAGCGAAAGCGAGUCUGAAUAGGGCGUUUAGUAUUUGGUCGUAGACCCGAAACCAGGUGAUCUACCCUUGGUCAGGUUGAAGUUCAGGUAACACUGAAUGGAGGACCGAACCGACUUACGUUGAAAAGUGAGCGGAUGAACUGAGGGUAGCGGAGAAAUUCCAAUCGAACCUGGAGAUAGCUGGUUCUCUCCGAAAUAGCUUUAGGGCUAGCCUCAAGUGAUGAUUAUUGGAGGUAGAGCACUGUUUGGACGAGGGGCCCCUCUCGGGUUACCGAAUUCAGACAAACUCCGAAUGCCAAUUAAUUUAACUUGGGAGUCAGAACAUGGGUGAUAAGGUCCGUGUUCGAAAGGGAAACAGCCCAGACCACCAGCUAAGGUCCCAAAAUAUAUGUUAAGUGGAAAAGGAUGUGGCGUUGCCCAGACAACUAGGAUGUUGGCUUAGAAGCAGCCAUCAUUUAAAGAGUGCGUAAUAGCUCACUAGUCGAGUGACACUGCGCCGAAAAUGUACCGGGGCUAAACAUAUUACCGAAGCUGUGGAUUGUCCUUUGGACAAUGGUAGGAGAGCGUUCUAAGGGCGUUGAAGCAUGAUCGUAAGGACAUGUGGAGCGCUUAGAAGUGAGAAUGCCGGUGUGAGUAGCGAAAGACGGGUGAGAAUCCCGUCCACCGAUUGACUAAGGUUUCCAGAGGAAGGCUCGUCCGCUCUGGGUUAGUCGGGUCCUAAGCUGAGGCCGACAGGCGUAGGCGAUGGAUAACAGGUUGAUAUU